RNAcentral lists this long non-coding RNA (1693 nucleotides) under Schizosaccharomyces pombe (fission yeast). Lineage: Eukaryota; Fungi; Ascomycota; Schizosaccharomycetes; Schizosaccharomycetales; Schizosaccharomycetaceae. The record is from RNAcentral.
AUAACGUCAACAAAUCUUUGAGGAUGUAACAAAGGCCAAAUAGGAAUGUUCUCAUCGUCUUCACCACCAUCUACUAAAUCAAUAGUAUCGAAUCGCUCAAAAGGGUUUUUGACGGUGGUGUUUGUAGUCGUGAAAUUCUGAUAAGGAUUGGGGUAAGGAGCGAUGUCAUUUUGAUCCUCAGAAAGUUUUUCAAAUACUUUAUGAAUAAUAUCAUAGAGAGUACUAUUUGACGUUACUUCCUGACUCCAUUCUAACAGAAACGUGUUGAACAAUGUAGCUGAAGUACCCAUAACAAAACCGGCAUUAUCAUAGUUACGAAUGCACUUAUGGUCUGGUGGAACACCAUUCUUUAAAUGGGUACCGACGUAUUCCAUAGGGAGAAAAGCUUUAAUACCAUUGUCCCAAGUACCAAACUCGUAUGGAGUAAAUUCGAAUAUACUGGUGUUGGCAGGGAUAGCUUUUUCCUCUUCCAAACGACUGUCAGAUAUAAUGAUGGGAUAAGGAUAGUCGGCAUUUUGGAACCAAGUUUGGUUUCUAAUGCUAGAAAAUGUGAUAUUUGGACCACCUUGGGUAGCAUCGACAAGCUUACGAGAUAAAGCGCGUCCCCAAAGAUCGGUCAAAGAAGUAUCGAAUCCUGCAUCUUUCUUUUGAUCAAUCUCAUCAUCCAGGUCGUCAUAAUAAGCAAGAUUUUCGACAACAUUGUCACCAUGAGGAGCAAAGACACUAUGUUCCAAAUUCCAAACGUUGUCACGUAGAUAAGUAAUAUUGGCAAAGUUAUUAACAGCUACGGAACCGACCAGCCAUGAACCACCAGAAAGACCAGCGAUAUACAUGGCGGAUUGAAGAAUUCCAGCAAGUGAAGAACCAUUGCCAUUUCGAGAAUCGAAAGCAUUUAAAACACCUCCUCCGUGGACCAUAGCGCGGAGUCCACCGCCAGAAAAUGCAAGUCCUAAACGAGGGCCAUCUGAAUCAUUAAUCACAGAGUUUACAUCUACGUCCAAACCAGUGUUGGAAAUAAAGGACCUCAUUUGUGUAUUGAUUUUGGGGAUACGUUUAUCAAUGAAACUUUGCUCGCCUGAACUUAUUCCGUCAGAAGCAGGUCGUAGCAUAUAGUCACUAGGACAAGUUACAUUAUAAGGCGCGUAUGAUCCAACACUGUCGCGCUUGGAAAGCGAAAUCGCCAAAGCCUCUCGUUUUUGCAUUAAUGAAAGAGGCGUGUCAUGCAUGCCCGGUCUCAUUAAGUCAGAUUCCCCAAACUCAUACGGAUCCGACAUUUGCUCGCGACAAGGCGGGUACGCCAAGGCCGGCAGGAUCUGGAGCAGAGCGAGUAUUCCAAAACAAUUAAAUAACAUUGUCUUUUUUUUUUAUAGUUAAACCGUCUUUAGGUCAAUAAAUUUGGGAAAUUAUGCCAAAAUCUACACACCGCUUUGCUUGAACUCAGAGAUUAGAAGGCCGUUACAAAAACGCGCUCAAAACAAACGAUGGAAUCAACGACUGUCUCUCUAGACCCACAAAAGUUUAGAAAAUUGACUAUACCCUCAAACAAUUUUCUUGUGAACGAAAACAACACAACAACGGAAUAUUUGUAAACGGAUGGUGAAACAAAUUAAACCAAAAGCGCCCUACUACGUAAAAAUUUUAAAACUCCUUAUAGCUGAAAUUCACCCGUAUUCCAACGCAGCUCUUACUGUAU